GGUUAAGCGACUAAGCGUACACGGUGGAUGCCCUGGCAGUCAGAGGCGAUGAAGGACGUGCUAAUCUGCGAAAAGCGCCGGCGAGGUGAUAUGAACCCUUGACCCGGCGAUGUCCGAAUGGGGAAACCCAGUGUGUUCCGACACACUAUCGUUAACUGAAUACAUAGGUUAACGAGGCGAACCGGGGGAACUGAAACAUCUAAGUACCCCGAGGAAAAGAAAUCAACCGAGAUUCCCCCAGUAGCGGCGAGCGAACGGGGAGCAGCCCGGAGUCUGAAUCAGCUUGUGUGUUAGUGGAACGGUCUGGAAAGUCCGACGGUACAGGGUGAUAGUCCCGUACACGAAAAUGCACAUGCUGUGAACUCGAAGAGUAGGGCGGGACACGUGGUAUCCUGUCUGAAUAUGGGGGGACCAUCCUCCAAGGCUAAAUACUCCUGACUGACCGAUAGUGAACCAGUACCGUGAGGGAAAGGCGAAAAGAACCCCGGCGAGGGGAGUGAAAAAGAACCUGAAACCGUGUACGUACAAGCAGUGGGAGCACCUUCGGGUGUGACUGCGUACCUUUUGUAUAAUGGGUCAGCGACUUAUAUUCUGUAGCAAGGUUAACCGUAUAGGGGAGCCGAAGGGAAACCGAGUCUUAACUGGGCGUUAAGUUGCAGGGUAUAGACCCGAAACCCGGUGAUCUAGCCAUGGGCAGGUUGAAGGUUGGGUAACACUAACUGGAGGACCGAACCGACUAAUGUUGAAAAAUUAGCGGAUGACCUGUGGCUGGGGGUGAAAGGCCAAUCAAACCGGGAGAUAGCUGGUUCUCCCCGAAAGCUAUUUAGGUAGCGCCUCGUGAACUCAUCUUCGGGGGUAGAGCACUGUUUCGGCUAGGGGGCCAUCCCGGCUUACCAACCCGAUGCAAACUACGAAUACCGAAGAAUGUUAUCACGGGAGACACACGGCGGGUGCUAACGUCCGUCGUGAAGAGGGAAACAACCCAGACCGCCAGCUAAGGUCCCAAAGUCAUGGUUAAGUGGGAAACGAUGUGGGAAGGCACAGACAGCCAGGAUGUUGGCUUAGAAGCAGCCAUCAUUUAAAGAAAGCGUAAUAGCUCACUGGUCGAGUCGGCCUGCGCGGAAGAUGUAACGGGGCUAAACCAUGCACCGAAGCUGCGGCAGCGACGCUUAUGCGUUGUUGGGUAGGGGAGCGUUCUGUAAGCCGUUGAAGGUGUGCUGUGAGGCAUGCUGGAGGUAUCAGAAGUGCGAAUGCUGACAUAAGUAACGAUAAAGCGGGUGAAAAGCCCGCUCGCCGGAAGACCAAGGGUUCCUGUCCAACGUUAAUCGGGGCAGGGUGAGUCGACCCCUAAGGCGAGGCCGAAAGGCGUAGUCGAUGGGAAACAGGUUAAUAUUCCUGUACUUGGUGUUACUGCGAAGGGGGGACGGAGAAGGCUAUGUCAGCCGGGCGACGGUUGUCCCGGUUUAAGCAUGUAGGCGGAGGUUCCAGGUAAAUCCGGUACCUUGUUAACGCUGAGGUGUGAUGACGAGGCACUACGGUGCUGAAGUGAUAAAUGCCCUGCUUCCAGGAAAAGCCUCUAAGCAUCAGGUAACACGAAAUCGUACCCCAAACCGACACAGGUGGUCAGGUAGAGAAUACCAAGGCGCUUGAGAGAACUCGGGUGAAGGAACUAGGCAAAAUGGUGCCGUAACUUCGGGAGAAGGCACGCUGAUAUGUAGGUGAAGUCCCUGCGGACGGAGCUGAAAUCAGUCGAAGAUACCAGCUGGCUGCAACUGUUUAUUAAAAACACAGCACUGUGCAAACACGAAAGUGGACGUAUACGGUGUGACGCCUGCCCGGUGCCGGAAGGUUAAUUGAUGGGGUUAGCGGCAACGCGAAGCUCUUGAUCGAAGCCCCGGUAAACGGCGGCCGUAACUAUAACGGUCCUAAGGUAGCGAAAUUCCUUGUCGGGUAAGUUCCGACCUGCACGAAUGGCGUAAUGAUGGCCAGGCUGUCUCCACCCGAGACUCAGUGAAAUUGAACUCGCUGUGAAGAUGCAGUGUACCCGCGGCAAGACGGAAAGACCCCGUGAACCUUUACUAUAGCUUGACACUGAACACUGGUCCUUGAUGUGUAGGAUAGGUGGGAGGCUUUGAAGCGUGGACGCCAGUCUGCGUGGAGCCGUCCUUGAAAUACCACCCUUUAAUGGCUGGUGUUCUAACGUAGACCCGUGAUCCGGGUUGCGGACAGUGUCUGGUGGGUAGUUUGACUGGGGCGGUCUCCUCCCAAAGAGUAACGGAGGAGCACGAAGGUUGGCUAAUCCUGGUCGGACAUCAGGAGGUUAGUGCAAUGGCAUAAGCCAGCUUGACUGCGAGCGUGACGGCGCGAGCAGGUGCGAAAGCAGGUCAUAGUGAUCCGGUGGUUCUGAAUGGAAGGGCCAUCGCUCAACGGAUAAAAGGUACUCCGGGGAUAACAGGCUGAUACCGCCCAAGAGUUCAUAUCGACGGCGGUGUUUGGCACCUCGAUGUCGGCUCAUCACAUCCUGGGGCUGAAGUAGGUCCCAAGGGUAUGGCUGUUCGCCAUUUAAAGUGGUACGCGAGCUGGGUUUAGAACGUCGUGAGACAGUUCGGUCCCUAUCUGCCGUGGGCGCUGGAGAAUUGAGGGGGGCUGCUCCUAGUACGAGAGGACCGGAGUGGACGCAUCACUGGUGUUCGGGUUGUCAUGCCAAUGGCACUGCCCGGUAGCUAAAUGCGGAAGAGAUAAGUGCUGAAAGCAUCUAAGCACGAAACUUGCCCCGAGAUGAGUUCUCCCUGAGACUUUAAGUCUCCUGAAGGAACGUUGAAGACGACGACGUUGAUAGGUCGGGUGUGUAAGCGCAGCGAUGCGUUGAGCUAACCGAUACUAAUGAACCGUGAGGCUUAACCUU
This 2905-nucleotide ribosomal RNA is filed under the name Enterobacter hormaechei. RNAcentral describes it as "23S ribosomal RNA". It matches the Rfam family "Bacterial large subunit ribosomal RNA". The record is from RNAcentral. RNAcentral also lists the same sequence under 1 other name. Lineage: Bacteria; Pseudomonadati; Pseudomonadota; Gammaproteobacteria; Enterobacterales; Enterobacteriaceae.